RNAcentral lists this transfer RNA (73 nucleotides) under Nothocercus nigrocapillus. RNAcentral's name for it is "tRNA-Asn". Lineage: Eukaryota; Metazoa; Chordata; Aves; Tinamiformes; Tinamidae. The record is from RNAcentral.
UAGGCAGAAGCCGGCAGGAUUAGGCACUUAGCUGUUAACUAAGGGAUUAUGGGAUCGAGGCCCAUCUGCCUAG